This 637-nucleotide long non-coding RNA is filed under the name Coturnix japonica (Japanese quail). Its description in RNAcentral is "lncRNA (ENSCJPG00005008788.1)". The record is from RNAcentral. Lineage: Eukaryota; Metazoa; Chordata; Aves; Galliformes; Phasianidae.
AAAUAGGACACAUUAUUUUCAGAGCAGCGCUCAUAGUGGACAUCUCUCUGAGUGUACAUACAUUGGACAAAGAUGUUAAGAUUUGCUUGCAGGAAUCCUUAAGAGCCCAAAUCCUUUCACUUCUGCACAGCAAGUGAUGCCAGUGAUGUACAUUUAAUUUAGCAACAGAAUCUCAAUUAAAAAAAAUGACCUUCAGAGCAGUUGAGGAUAAAGCUGUUGAAAUGCUUUGAAAUGUAGUGACUGGAAUCUGGAGGCAUGCCCUGGAAAAUAAAAAGACCUUAAUUUUCAAAAGUUAAUUUCUGUUCUUCUUCUCUGUAAAGUUUUCAAGUCUGUGGCAAAAGGUCACUGGCUCUAGAGCAGAACUCACCCAUGAAAGCUGUUUGGAAUCAGUGAAAGAAGAGCGCAGUAUGCAGAUAAGCCCAGCAUCCGUGCGGGCAGGCUGAGGAAGGACGUUUGCUCGAGUGCUAGGGGACACAAAAAUACGAAGCUCACAAAGAGCUGCUGCUGCUUGCUGUGGGAAGAAGCAUAUCGGUAGUGUUACAAGGUGGAUUAAAACUUUUAAAGGCAAAGAAAAAGCUGUCUUGCCAAAGUAAAUGAAAUUUAAACUCACCGAGGAGCAAUGGGAGAAAAGGAAGAG